CUGAUUUCGGUAAGUGAGAAGAAAUUUAUUCCUUUUAAUGGUUCUCUCUCCCGUUCCUCCACCUCCUCACCUAAACAGACUCCUCAGUUCCUCCGCCUCCUCCCCUCCCGUUCCUCAGUCCUAUCUGCCGCCUCCAUUCCUCAGUCCCGUCCGCCUCCUCUCUCCCGUCCUGGCCGCCUCCUCUCUCCGACAUCCUUUGCACUGCUCCACCAAGAUCCGCUCCGCUCCCCAUCCACAAAUCCCUUCCAAAUCCCUUCCCCAAGUUCCGCACCGCCUGGGCCAAGGAUGACGUACCUGCGCGAUGCUAGGGGUCGGUUUGCCCAGGCCAAGAAGGUCUGCAAGGUGGGGACGCCGUUGGAGCCCCUCACCGCGGGAGGAGGGGGCCGCCGUGGCGAGGGUUCUUCCUCACAUCGUCCCCAUUUGGACAACGGCGUGAAGAGGCGGCCGACCACGCGGUCAGUAGGAUGGUAUUGUUCUUACUUUUUAUAUGUUUUUAUUAUCUAUGUAUGCACCAAUCAUGACUAGACCUUAACUGUUAGUCUGUAAGUGAGAAGAAAUUGGAUAAUAGCAUGAUUUCAACUAUAUGGUUACUAGCAAUAAGCUAAAAUAAACUCUCUUAGAUAGUGGGUCUGGGGGCAAAUACUAGCGCUUGUAGUGCUCGAUUAGUGUGCUUUAGGUUUUUGUUCAGACAUGAGGACUGAUGUGCUAGUAAACUACUUGUUAAAGUUUUGAUGGGUGCUAUGUGCCUGUUGAACUAAUUAUAAUUAAAUGAUUGAAGUAUUCUAGCAUGCAUUGUCUGGUGCAUAUCCUGCUUUUGUUGAUGCCCUCUUGAGUUAUUGUAUUGCCAGGUCCAUUUCUUUCUUCAUGUAUGAGCUUGGUACUAAUUAAUGAUGACUUGUAUGUGGGAUAUCAAAACUGGAAUGUGAUGAGAACUACUGUUGGUUCAUGUAUCUAUAUCUUUGUAUUUGCGGGAACAAUAGGUGUUACACAGAGUCGGUGGUGUUUGGUUGCAAAGCAACCCUGGUACUGGGCAGCUCUAUCCAACCCCAGGCGCUCAAAGUCGAUGAUGUUUGGGGUUCUUGUGUGCUGAUCUUGGCUAAUAAAUAUUGAAAAAUUGCUAACAGAGUUGAAAAUAGACAAUGGUAGCUUGAAAAUCUGUCUGCGAAGUAUAUAUUUGUUCUAGGAAGUAUUUACGUUUUGUGAUAAUAUAUGAUCCCUAAUUCCAUAUAACCAUGUUAGUGGCGGAGGCACUUGAAACCUCACAUGCCUGUCUGAAACAACCUAUAUGCAGCUUGUCCUUUCUCACUAUAGUAGAAUAAUUUUACUGAUUGUGGAUUUGGAAAAUCCACACGUUAGGGAUUCAGGGAGUUGAAACUUAACAUAGUUAUCUGUUGUCUCAAACAACUUAUAUGCAAUUCUUCCUUUGGCAUUGUACUAGAAUUCCUUCACUUAUCACGAGUUUGAAAAUUACAUAUCAAAACCUGAGUGCUCUUAUAUCAUCAUGUUGCAUAUUGUUAGAUGCCUAGAGUUCAGUGAUAUUGGUAUUGAGCCAAAUAUCAUCGCAUUUGGUGGAAUUGUGUGAAUCAGUGAGAGUUUAGGCUGUAAGCACGUAUGUCUACACUACUUCUCCUAGUUGCAGUCUAUAUAUUUUACCUGUGUCUCUGAAAGCCAUGUUGAUAAAUCUCCUCCAGAUCUGAAUAAGAUGCCUCAGCUCCUAGUUAAGUAGAAACUCCUAAUUUGAUUGCAAAGAGUUAGCGAAAUUGAUUUUGUGAUAUAUUUUCCAUUACUAUUUAUAUUCCCUUGCAUUUUGGUUUUUCCAAUCAAGUAGAGAUAACAUGUUGAAGCUAUUACUAUUUCUUAUAGCACAUUCUUAUUUAUCUGGAGCUAUUUCUCUGUCUAUGGAUGUGUACAUGAGUUUGCUUUUCAUUUCAAAGCCAAGAUUUGUUCUUCUCUUAUUAGGUUUAAUAUAUGCCAGAUUUGGUGUGUGAAUUUUCUAGUUCGGCUAUUGGUAUGAUCUAUCUUGUCCAUCCAAGUCUCCCUGUCCACCUAUCCAAAUUAAUGAGUUCAUGUGCUGCUAGUCUUGAAACUUGACCUGAGUUAUUGUUUAAUGUAUUGCGGACUGAUUUGGAGUAGUUGAUACAAAUUUUCAAGAACUACAGGAAUCAGGAAAAUGAAAAGUACGAACAAGCAGUGUAGCAGCGAGAUGACAUGGCCAAGAAGCUUGAAAAAGUUAAACGGAAGGCAAAAAAGUUAAUUGAAGCAUUUAAGAAGCUAGACAAGAAGUAGGUUAAGAAGUUGGUUGACAGACUGUUAGUUUGGUCUGUACAUAAAUUAGAUAAUCCAUGCUGGAAUCUCUAGUGCUACUAGUAGCUGAACCUCUAGUGCUAUGAUCCCCAUCUAUCAUGGUCUUUUGGACUAGCCGUGUGCAUGGUGGAAUACCAGGAUAGGUCACAUUUUGUGCAAUCUGUUUGCCAUGGCCUUCAUGUUAGGAUUGCCAAGGAAGUCCAGGAGAAGAAAAUGUGGGUGUUUAUCCUCUGCCUGGUUGGACUGCUUGUUUGUCAAUGCUUUUGUAAUGGCUAAAGUGGAACAGAUGCUUUUGUAAUGCAAGAAGUGCUAGAUCAACUGUUGCUCAUGAUGUACUGUUCUUGUAAGAUGAUCUAUUGGUCUAGCUGACUUAAUCAUUUAGAAUGAUAAAUUAUUGUUUGAAUGUGCUUGUUGUUUCCACAAAAGGGCUUCACUUGACUGGUACCUUGCCAAAUUUGUUUCUAUUUUUUAUAUGUGAAUGUGGAUUUUAGUUUUUGCCAGGACUAUUUUUUAUCAUGUGAAUAUAUAG
RNAcentral lists this long non-coding RNA (2833 nucleotides) under Setaria italica (foxtail millet). Its description in RNAcentral is "long non-coding RNA (SITA_LNC002182)". The record is from RNAcentral. Lineage: Eukaryota; Viridiplantae; Streptophyta; Magnoliopsida; Poales; Poaceae.